AUUGAACGCUGGCGGCAGGCCUAACACAUGCAAGUCGAGCGGAAGAAGGGUGCUUGCUCGCGCAUUCGGGGGGGGAGGGGUGGGUGGUGGCGGGGAAUCUGGCAGUCUGCGGUUGCUGACGUCCUAAAACCGGCGCACUUACCCCAUUCGCCCUUACGAAGUACGUGGGAGAGCUGGGGAUCUCACGCCCUCGCAUGAUCGUAUGACGGAUUAGCUAGUUGGUGGGGUAAAGGGCUACCAAGGCGACGAUCCGUAACUGGUCUGAGAGGAUGAUCAGCCACACUGGAACUGAGACACGGUCCAGACUCCUACGGGAGGCAGCAGUGGGGAAUAUUGGACAAUGGGCGAAAGCCUGAUCCAGCCAUACCGCGUGUGUGAAGAAGGCCUUCGGAUUGUAAAGCACUUUAAGUGGGGAGGAAGGGCAGUAAGUUAAUACCUCGCUGUUUUGACGUUACCAAAAGAAUAAGCACCGGCUAACCUCGUG
Molecule: ribosomal RNA, 484 nt
Filed under: uncultured bacterium
Lineage: Bacteria
Description: partial 16S ribosomal RNA
Rfam family: Bacterial small subunit ribosomal RNA
Source: RNAcentral